GGCCUCGUAGCUCAGCUGGUAGAGCGUGCGCUGUACAAAAGCGUAGACGGUGUUGAAGUGUGGGUUAGAACCCCACCGAGGCUA
RNAcentral lists this transfer RNA (84 nucleotides) under Echinostoma caproni. It matches the Rfam family "tRNA". From Rfam's summary of the family: Transfer RNA (tRNA) molecules are approximately 80 nucleotides in length. Their secondary structure includes four short double-helical elements and three loops (D, anti-codon, and T loops). Lineage: Eukaryota; Metazoa; Platyhelminthes; Trematoda; Plagiorchiida; Echinostomatidae. The record is from Rfam by way of RNAcentral.